This 695-nucleotide ribosomal RNA is filed under the name Anophryoides haemophila. RNAcentral describes it as "partial Bacterial large subunit ribosomal RNA". Lineage: Eukaryota; Ciliophora; Oligohymenophorea; Philasterida; Glauconematidae. The record is from RNAcentral.
ACGGGUUAACCUCGCCACGUAUCACUAACUCGCAGGCUCAUUCUUCAAAAGCCACGCCGUCACACCUGCUAAGGGUGCUCCGACGGAUUGUAAGCAGACGGUUUCAGGUACUAUUUCACUCCCCGCCAGGGGUACUUUUCACCUUUCCCUCACGGUACUUGUCCGCUAUCGGUCAUCGAGAAGUAUUUAGGCUUAACGGGUGGUCCCGCCAGAUUCACACACCAUUCCAGGAGUGGCAUGUUACUUGGGAAAACACUCACGGAGUCACCACCUUACGUCUACGGGGCUAUCACCCGCUACGGCGCAGCUUUCCAACUGCUUCGACCUCAAUGAUGAUUUCUAACUCCGCACACCCCCAGCAGCGGGUGAACAAGUGCUCCCACGACCCCAAAGACGCAACCCCUGCCAGGUAUCACACGACUUUGGUUUAGCCUGAUCCGAUUUCGCUCGCCACUACUCUCGGAAUCACUAUUGUUUUCUCUUCCUACCGGUACUGAGAUGUUUCACUUCCCGGCGUUCCCUCCACACACCCUAUUUCAUUCAGGUGCAGGUAACUGGACAUAACUCCAGCUGGGUUUCCCCAUUCGGACAUCCCCGGAUCAACGCUCGGUUGCCAACUCCCCAGGGCAUAUCGCAGGCUCCCACGUCCUUCAUCGGCUCUCGAUGCCAAGGCAUCCACCAUGCGCCCUUACCAA